GAUGAACGCUAGCUACAGGCUUAACACAUGCAAGUCGAGGGGCAGCAUGUAGGUUGCUUGCAACCUAUGAUGGCGACCGGCGCACGGGUGCGUAACGCGUAUCCAACCUUCCCCGCAGUAGGGUCCAGCCCGUUGAAAGACGGAUUAAUCCCCUAUGUUGUCCAUUGACGGCAUCCGAUUUGGACGAAAGGUUUCACCGCUGCGGGAUGGGGAUGCGUAGGAUUAGGUAGUCGGAGGGGUAACGGCCCACCGAGCCUUCGAUCCUUAGGGGUUCUGAGAGGAAGGUCCCCCACACUGGAACUGAGACACGGUCCAGACUCC
RNAcentral lists this ribosomal RNA (321 nucleotides) under uncultured Prevotella sp. Its description in RNAcentral is "bacterial SSU rRNA". It matches the Rfam family "Bacterial small subunit ribosomal RNA", at positions 28 to 339 of the family's 1533-position model. Lineage: Bacteria; Pseudomonadati; Bacteroidota; Bacteroidia; Bacteroidales; Prevotellaceae. The record is from RNAcentral.